CCCUUCGGGGGUGUAUAAAGCGGCGAACGGGUGAGUAACAGGUGGGUAAUCUACCUCCCGGUGGGGGACAACAGCUGGAAACGGCCGCUAAUACCGCAUUCGGUUGUUUCGUCAUAAGUCGAGACAAAGAAAGGCGCGUUUGCGCCGCCGGGAGAUGGGCCCGCCCCCCAUUAGCUAGUUGGUGAGAUCACAGCCCACCAAGGCUUCGAUGGGUAGCCGAGCUGAGAGGUUGAUCGGCCACACUGGGACUGAGAUACGGCCCAGACACCUACGGGUGGCAGCAGUAGGGAAUAUUGCGCAAUGGGCGAAAGCCUGACGCAGCCAUGCCGCGUGGAUGAUGAAGGCCUUCGGGUCGUAAAGUCCUUUUCUGAGGGAAGAACAGGUGAGGUAGGAAAUGCCCUCGCUUUGACGGUACCUCAGGAAUAAGCAACGGCAAACUCCGUGCCAGCAGCCGCGGUAAUACGGAGGUUGCAAGCGUUGUUCGGAUUAACUGGGCGUAAAGGGAGCGCAGGCGGUUUGGUCAGUCUGAAGUGGAAGCCCGGGGCUCAACCUCGGAAGCGCUUUGGAUACUGCCAGACUUGAGUUCGUGAGAGGAGAGUGGAAUUCCAGGUGUAGCGGUGAAAUGCGUAGAUAUCUGGAGGAACAUCUGUGGCGAAAGCGGCUCUCUGGCACGAUACUGACGCUGAGGCUCGAAAGCGUGGGGAGCGAACAGGAUUAGAUACCCUGGUAGUCCACGCCGUAAACGUUGUG
This 750-nucleotide ribosomal RNA is filed under the name uncultured Hydrogenedentota bacterium. RNAcentral describes it as "bacterial SSU rRNA". It matches the Rfam family "Bacterial small subunit ribosomal RNA", at positions 76 to 813 of the family's 1533-position model. The record is from RNAcentral. Lineage: Bacteria; Pseudomonadati; Candidatus Hydrogenedentota.